UGUUGGAACAAAACGACGAGGAGACGCCGAUAACAAAUGUGCUCGAGUUGUCUAACGAUCUGUAUCACUGAUUCCUAUUGACAACUAAACCAACUAUGAAAGCAAUGUGCCUUCAGGCGAUGACUAAAGUUUAUGGAAAAUAUCACGAAGAGAUUGG
Molecule: long non-coding RNA, 157 nt
Filed under: Dendronephthya gigantea
Lineage: Eukaryota; Metazoa; Cnidaria; Anthozoa; Malacalcyonacea; Nephtheidae
Description: uncharacterized LOC114539720
Source: RNAcentral